GUUUGAUACCCCGAAACUACGUGAGCUACUUCAAGACAGCCUAUUAAUAGGGCAAACCCAUCUCUGUGGCAAAAGCGUGGGAAGAACUUUGAGUAGAGGUGACAAACCUACCGAACCUAGUUAUAGCUGGUUGUCCAAGAAAUGAAUAGAAGUUCAGCCUCUAAGCUUCUCUUUUCACCUGAGCUUAACUCCUUUAGAUGUAUUUAAGAAACUAAGAAAGUUAGUCAAAGGGGGUACAGCUCCUUUGAAUCAAGACACAACUUUAACAGGCGGGUAAAGAUCAUAAUAACCAAAGCUAAACAUUCUGGUGGGCCUAAAAGCAGCCAUCCCUUAGAAAGCGUUAAAGCUCAAACAUAUUCUUAUACCUUAUUAUCUUGAUCAAUAAAUCUCACCCCCCUAACCAUACUGGACCCUCCCCUGCCCCCAGGGGUGUGAUUAUGCUAAUAUGAGUAAUAAGAGAGCCCCGCCUCUCUCCCUGCACACGUGUACCUCGGAACAGACAACCCACCGACCAUUAACGACCCCAAACAAAGAGGGCCCUAGAUCCUAACUCAAAACCUAGUAAAACAUCUAAAAAUUAACCGUUAACCCCACACAGGUGUGCCCCAAGGAAAGACUUAAAAAAAGAGAAGGAACUCGGCAAACACAUUAAGCCUCGCCUGUUUACCAAAAACAUCGCCUCUUGUGCCCCCC
This 693-nucleotide ribosomal RNA is filed under the name Careproctus colletti (Alaska snailfish). RNAcentral's name for it is "partial 16S rRNA". The stretch from base 1 to 442 matches the Rfam family "Bacterial large subunit ribosomal RNA", at positions 705 to 1298 of the family's 2925-position model. Lineage: Eukaryota; Metazoa; Chordata; Actinopteri; Perciformes; Liparidae. The record is from RNAcentral.